Molecule: ribosomal RNA, 460 nt
Filed under: uncultured bacterium
Lineage: Bacteria
Description: partial 16S ribosomal RNA
Rfam family: Bacterial small subunit ribosomal RNA
Source: RNAcentral
CCUACGGGCGGCAGCAGUGAGGAAUAUUGGUCAAUGGACGUAAGCCUGAACCAGCCAAGUCGCGUGAGGGAUGAAGGUUCUAUGGAUCGUAAACCUCUUUUAUAGGGGAAUAAAUUGCGGUACGUGUCGCAUUUUGUAUGUACCUUAUGAAUAAGGAUCGGCUAACUCCGUGCCAGCAGCCGCGGUAAUACGGAGGAUCCGAGCGUUAUCCGGAUUUAUUGGGUUUAAAGGGUGCGUAGGCGGCUUUUUAAGUCAGUUGUGAAAGUCUGUGGCUCAACCAUAGAAUUGCAGUUGAAACUGGGAGGCUGGAGUAUGGUAGAGGCAGGCGGAAUGCGUGGUGUAGCGGUGAAAUGCUUAGAUAUCACGAAGAACACCGAUUGCGAAGGCAGUCCGCUAGACUAUGACUGACGCUGAGGCACGAAAGCGUGGGGAUCAAACAGGAUUAGAUACCCUGGUAGUC